CUGCGGCGUGCUUACCAUGCAAGUCGAACGAUGAAGCCCACUUGUGGGUGGAUUAGUGGCGAACGGGUGAGUAACACGUGAGUAACCUGCCCUUGACUCUGGGAUAAGCCUGGGAAACCGGGUCUAAUACUGGAUACGACCUUCCCGCGCAUGCGGUGUUGGUGGAAAGCUUUUGCGGUUUUGGAUGGACUCGCGGCCUAUCAGCUUGUUGGUGGGGUAAUGGCCUACCAAGGCGACGACGGGUAGCCGGCCUGAGAGGGUGACCGGCCACACUGGGACUGAGACACGGCCCAGACUCCUACGGGAGGCAGCAGUGGGGAAUAUUGCACAAUGGGCGCAAGCCUGAUGCAGCGACGCCGCGUGAGGGAUGAAGGCCUUCGGGUUGUAAACCUCUUUCAGUAGGGAAGAAGCCGCUCUUUUGGGGGUGGUGACGGUACUUGCAGAAGAAGCGCCGGCUAACUACGUGCCAGCAGCCGCGGUAAU
Molecule: ribosomal RNA, 483 nt
Filed under: uncultured bacterium
Lineage: Bacteria
Description: bacterial SSU rRNA
Rfam family: Bacterial small subunit ribosomal RNA
Source: RNAcentral